This 98-nucleotide non-coding RNA is filed under the name uncultured Paenibacillus sp. RNAcentral's name for it is "pan motif". It matches the Rfam family "pan motif". Lineage: Bacteria; Bacillati; Bacillota; Bacilli; Caryophanales; Paenibacillaceae. The record is from RNAcentral.
AAUUUGAACUGCACUCAAUAAGUUAGUCUGCUUUAAAAAUUAUUAUUUUAUAGGUUUGUUGGAUUCUGCUCUGAGCCGAAGAGGACCGAGACAGAAGG